RNAcentral lists this ribosomal RNA (303 nucleotides) under Triticum aestivum (bread wheat). RNAcentral describes it as "partial small subunit ribosomal RNA". Lineage: Eukaryota; Viridiplantae; Streptophyta; Magnoliopsida; Poales; Poaceae. The record is from RNAcentral.
AUGGCGGCGGCAGCCGAAAGAGAUCAUGGCAGGGAAAGAAAGACACUAGUACUCAACUGUACGGUAGUUUUCUUGUUUAAACACCUCCAAGAUCCAAGCAAAACCUCUGCCUGGAAACAUAAUGUUGUGGGGAAAUAUACCCAAGACAAAACCUGGCAGGCUGUGGUGAUCAGUAGGGAAACUACCACAAAAGUGACAAGGUUUCAGCCACUGAGCUACCAAUGGGACUCGCCUUCCCUGGAAAAGGAGAUCCCAGUAAUCAGCACACUGGUAAAGCCAUUGCACCAAAGGGUUAACUGUUGA